This 525-nucleotide ribosomal RNA is filed under the name uncultured eukaryote. RNAcentral describes it as "SSU rRNA". It matches the Rfam family "Eukaryotic small subunit ribosomal RNA", at positions 21 to 549 of the family's 1831-position model. The record is from RNAcentral.
UAGUCAUAUGCUUGUCUCAAAGAUUAAGCCAUGCAUGUCUAAGUAUAAGCACUUUAUACUGUGAAACUGCGAAUGGCUCAUUAAAUCAGUUAUCGUUUAUUUGAUAGUACCUUACUACAUGGAUACCUGUGGUAAUUCUAGAGCUAAUACAUGCUAAAAACCUCGACUUCGGAAGGGGUGUAUUUAUUAGAUAAAAAACCAACGCCCUUCGGGGCUCCUUGGUGAAUCAUAAUAACUAAGCGAAUCGCAUGGCCUUGCGCCGGCGAUGGUUCAUUCAAAUUUCUGCCCUAUCAACUUUCGAUGGUAGGAUAGUGGCCUACCAUGGUGGCAACGGGUAACGGGGAAUUAGGGUUCGAUUCCGGAGAGGGAGCCUGAGAAACGGCUACCACAUCCAAGGAAGGCAGCAGGCGCGCAAAUUACCCAAUCCCGACACGGGGAGGUAGUGACAAUAAAUACUGAUACGGGGCUCUUUUGGGUCUCGUAAUUGGAAUGAGUACAAUCUAAAUCCCUUAACGAGGAACAAUU